AGGCCAGGCGGCGGCCUAACCAUGCAAGUCGAACGGUAACAGGAAGCAGCUUGCUGCUUCGCUGACGAGUGGCGGACGGGUGAGUAAUGUCUGGGAAACUGCCUGAUGGAGGGGGAUAACUACUGGAAACGGUAGCUAAUACCGCAUAACGUCGCAAGACCAAAGAGGGGGACCUUCGGGCCUCUUGCAAUCGGAUGUGCCCAGAUGUGGGAUUGAGCUAUGUAGGUGGUCGUGUAACGGCUCACCCAGGCCGAGCGAUCCCUAGCUUGGUCUCGAGCACCGACUGACCAGCCACACUGGCAACCCUGAGAACACGCCGUUCCAUGACUCCUGACGCGAGGGUCAGCUAAGUGGGGAUACUAGUCGCCACAACCUGGGCUGCAAGCCCUGAUGCAGCCGAUGUCUCGCGAUGUACGAAUGAACGGUCCUUCCGAGCUCUGUAAAGUACCGUCGAGGCGGGGGAGGAAGGCUGAUAAGCCUAAUAACCUUUGGUCGAUUCGACGUGACCCAGCAAGAAAGAAGCACCUGGCUAACUCCCGUGCCAGCAGCAGAGGGUAAUACGGAGGGUGCAAGCGUUAAUCGGAAAUCACGGGGCGCAAAGCGCACGCAGGCGGUCUGUCAAGUCGGAUGUGAAAUCCCCCGGGCUCAACCUGGGAACUGCAUUCGAAACUGGCAGGCUAGAGUCUUGUAGAGGGGGGUAGAAUUCCAGGUGCAGCGGUGAAAUGCGUAGAGAUCUGGAGGAAUACCGGUGGCGAAAGCGGCCCCCCUGGACAAACACUCACGCUCACGUGCGAAAACGUGGGGAGCAAACAGGGACUAGAUACCCCGGGAGUCUCACCCAGAUAAACGAUGUCGACUUCGGAGGCUCGUGCCGCGAUUGAGGCGCGGCCUCAGAAGAUAACGUCCUUAAGUCGACCGACUGGGGAGUACGAGCCAGCAAGCGUGGUAAAACUCAAAUGAAUAGACGGGGGGCCCGCACAAGCGGUGGAGCAUCAGGUAAUAUAUUUCGAAUGCAACGCGAACAACCUCAACUUACUCUGGACAUCCAGGACAACUAUUAGCAGAGAUGUCUUUCGCUGCCGUCGGAGAACUAUAGAGACAGGUGCUAGCACGGCUAGUCCUCAGCUCGUGUUGAGAAAUGUAUGGGUUAAGUCACGCCACGACUAGCAAACCUUAGCCUUUGCUGCCACCGGUCAGGCCGAGAACUCAAAGCAGACUGCCAGUGACUCAAAAUGGAGGAAGGUGAGGAUGACGUCAAGUCAUCAUGUGCCCUUACCAACAGGGACUACUGACACGUGCUACAAUGGCGCAUACAAAGAGAAGCGACCUCGCGAGAGCAAGCGGACCUCAUAAAGUGCGUGGUAGUCCGGAUUGGAGUCUGCAACUCGACUCCAUGAAGUCGGAAUCGCUAGUAAUCGUGGAUCAGAAUGCCACGGUGAAUACGUUCCCGGGCCUUGUACACACCGCCCGUCACACCAUGGGAGUGGGUUGCAAAAGAAGUAGGUAGCUUAACCUUCGGGAGGGCGCUACCACUUGUGAUCCUGGCU
RNAcentral lists this ribosomal RNA (1547 nucleotides) under Enterobacter hormaechei. RNAcentral's name for it is "bacterial SSU rRNA". It matches the Rfam family "Bacterial small subunit ribosomal RNA". Lineage: Bacteria; Pseudomonadati; Pseudomonadota; Gammaproteobacteria; Enterobacterales; Enterobacteriaceae. The record is from RNAcentral.